Molecule: ribosomal RNA, 669 nt
Filed under: Lactiplantibacillus plantarum
Lineage: Bacteria; Bacillati; Bacillota; Bacilli; Lactobacillales; Lactobacillaceae
Description: bacterial SSU rRNA
Rfam family: Bacterial small subunit ribosomal RNA
Source: RNAcentral
CUGGCGGCGUGCCUAAUACAUGCAAGUCGAACGAACUCUGGUAUUGAUUGGUGCUUGCAUCAUGAUUUACAUUUGAGUGAGUGGCGAACUGGUGAGUAACACGUGGGAAACCUGCCCAGAAGCGGGGGAUAACACCUGGAAACAGAUGCUAAUACCGCAUAACAACUUGGACCGCAUGGUCCGAGUUUGAAAGAUGGCUUCGGCUAUCACUUUUGGAUGGUCCCGCGGCGUAUUAGCUAGAUGGUGGGGUAACGGCUCACCAUGGCAAUGAUACGUAGCCGACCUGAGAGGGUAAUCGGCCACAUUGGGACUGAGACACGGCCCAAACUCCUACGGGAGGCAGCAGUAGGGAAUCUUCCACAAUGGACGAAAGUCUGAUGGAGCAACGCCGCGUGAGUGAAGAAGGGUUUCGGCUCGUAAAACUCUGUUGUUAAAGAAGAACAUAUCUGAGAGUAACUGUUCAGGUAUUGACGGUAUUUAACCAGAAAGCCACGGUUAACUACGUGCCAGCAGCCGCGGUAAUACGUAGGUGGCAAGCGUUGUCCGGAUUUAUUGGGCGUAAAGCGAGCGCAGGCGGUUUUUUAAGUCUGAUGUGAAAGCCUUCGGCUCAACCGAAGAAGUGCAUCGGAAACUGGGAAACUUGAGUGCAGAAGAGGACAGUGGAACUCC